This 494-nucleotide ribosomal RNA is filed under the name uncultured bacterium. RNAcentral's name for it is "partial 16S ribosomal RNA". It matches the Rfam family "Bacterial small subunit ribosomal RNA", at positions 28 to 507 of the family's 1533-position model. The record is from RNAcentral.
GACGAACGCUGGCGGCGUGCUUAACACAUGCAAGUCGAACGGAAAGGCCUGCUUUCCCUUGUGGAUUGCGGGUACUCGAGUGGCGAACGGGUGAGUAACACGUGAGUUAUCUGCCCCCAACUUUGGUAUAAGCCUGGGAAACUGGGUCUAAUUCCCGAUAGUACUGCAGGGUGGGUCCGGUAGUGUAAGCCGAUUUUCUAGUGGUUGGGGAUGAGCUGCCGGCUUGUCAGUUUGUUGGUUGGGUAAUGUCCUACGAAUAGGGUGACGGGUAGCCUGCCUGGGAUGGCGGACGGGCACAGUGGGACGGAGACACGGCGCAGACUACACGGGGCGGACGCCGUGGGGAGGAAUGCACAGUGAGCGGAAGCCUGAGGCAGCGACGCUGCGUGGGGGAUGCCGGGCUCCGGGUGGUAAACUCCUGUCGAUCGAGAGGAAGCGACUUGGUUGGAAGGGUGGUGACGGUAGUGGUAGAAGAAGCACCGGCUAACUACGUG